AUACGUAGGGUGCAAGCGUUAAUCGGAAUUACUGGGCGUAAAGCGUGCGCAGGCGGUUUUGUAAGACAGGGGUGAAAUCCCCGGGCUCAACCUGGGAACUGCCAUUGUGACUGCAAGGCUGGAGUGCGGCAGAGGGGGGUGGAAUUCCGGGGGUAGCGGGGAAAGGCGUAGAUAUGCGGAGGAACACCGAUGGCGAAGGCAAUCCCCUGGGCCUGCACUGACGCUCAUGCACGAAAGCGUGGGGAGCAAACAGGAUUAGAUACCCUGGUAGUCCACGCCCUAAACGAUGUCAACUGGUUGUUGGGGAUUUAUUUUCUCAGUAACGAAGCUAACGCGUGAAGUUGACCGCCUGGGGAGUACGGCCGCAAGGUUAAAACUCAAAGGAAUUGACGGGG
This 395-nucleotide ribosomal RNA is filed under the name uncultured bacterium. RNAcentral's name for it is "partial 16S ribosomal RNA". It matches the Rfam family "Bacterial small subunit ribosomal RNA", at positions 523 to 918 of the family's 1533-position model. The record is from RNAcentral.